RNAcentral lists this transfer RNA (74 nucleotides) under Ruminococcus sp. Its description in RNAcentral is "tRNA-Gln". It matches the Rfam family "tRNA". From Rfam's summary of the family: Transfer RNA (tRNA) molecules are approximately 80 nucleotides in length. Their secondary structure includes four short double-helical elements and three loops (D, anti-codon, and T loops). Lineage: Bacteria; Bacillati; Bacillota; Clostridia; Eubacteriales; Oscillospiraceae. The record is from RNAcentral.
UUCCGUUUCGUCUAAUGGCAGGACGCCGGUUUCUGGCACCGGAAAUGGGAGUUCAACUCUCUCAGCGGAAGCCA